Molecule: long non-coding RNA, 199 nt
Filed under: Hordeum vulgare
Lineage: Eukaryota; Viridiplantae; Streptophyta; Magnoliopsida; Poales; Poaceae
Description: long non-coding RNA (HVUL_LNC018843)
Source: RNAcentral
AAGGAUACUUUGGGCUAUCUCGAGGUUGAGGUCCUACAUCGGGAUUCCAAGUAGACUACGAUUUUUCUGUGGUUGAGGUUUUCCACAUAGCUUGUGGCUAGUUUGUUAUGGAUGAGUUGGAGCACCCCUACAGGGUUAAAUAUUUCUAAGAGCAAUGCCUGCGGUUAUGUGGAAACUCAAAAAUUUGUUUAACUCCCGG